UUUAGAGGAAGUAAAAGUCGUAACAAGGUUUCCGUAGGUGAACCUGCGGAAGGAUCAUUACCGAACCGUCGACACGAGUUGUUGCUGGUCCUCAAAUGGGGGCAUGUGCACACUCUGUUUACUCAUCCACUCACACCUGUGCACCCACUGUAGUUCUGUGGCUUGGGGGGCUCUGUCCUCUUUGCUGUGGUUCUAUGUCUUUACACACACACUGUAAUAAAGUUUCAUGGAAUGCAUGACGCGUCUAACGCAAUACAAUACAACUUUCAGCAACGGAUCUCUUGGCUCUCGCAUCGAUGAAGAACGCAGCGAAAUGCGAUAAGUAAUGUGAAUUGCAGAAUUCAGUGAAUCAUCGAAUCUUUGAACGCACCUUGCGCCCUCUGGCUAUUCCAGAGGGCAUGCCUGUUUGAGUAUCAUGAACACCUCAACUCUCAUGGUUUUGCCGUGAUGAGCUUGGACUUUGGGGGUCUUGCUGGCCUGUGGUCAGCUCCUCUCAAACGAAUCAGCUUGCCAGUGUCUGGUGGCAUCACAGGUGUGAUAACUAUCUACGCUUGUGGUUUUCCACCAGGUAACCUUCAGUGAUGGAGGUUCGCUGGAGCUCACAAAUGUCCCUCCUCAGCGAGGACAGCUUCUUGAAUGUUUGAUCUCAAAUCAGGUAGGGCUACCCGCUGAACUUAAGCAUAUCAAUAAAGCGGAGGA
Molecule: ribosomal RNA, 699 nt
Filed under: uncultured Tomentella
Lineage: Eukaryota; Fungi; Basidiomycota; Agaricomycetes; Thelephorales; Thelephoraceae
Description: eukaryotic LSU rRNA
Rfam family: 5.8S ribosomal RNA (bases 262-416)
Source: RNAcentral